GUGCUCACUUCGACAGCACACAUACGAAAAUUGGAACGAUACGGAGAAGUUUGGCAUUGCCCCUGUUGCAAGGAUGACACACAAAUUUGAGAAGAGUUCCAUAUUUUU
Camelus dromedarius (Arabian camel) is the source of this 108-nucleotide small nuclear RNA. The record is from Ensembl. Lineage: Eukaryota; Metazoa; Chordata; Mammalia; Artiodactyla; Camelidae.